This 769-nucleotide ribosomal RNA is filed under the name Clostridium botulinum. RNAcentral's name for it is "bacterial SSU rRNA". It matches the Rfam family "Bacterial small subunit ribosomal RNA", at positions 10 to 796 of the family's 1533-position model. Lineage: Bacteria; Bacillati; Bacillota; Clostridia; Eubacteriales; Clostridiaceae. The record is from RNAcentral.
AGUUUGAUCCUGGCUCAGGACGAACGCUGGCGGCGUGCUUAACACAUGCAAGUCGAGCGAUGAAGCUUCCUUCGGGRAGUGGAUUAGCGGCGGACGGGUGAGUAACACGUGGGUAACCUGCCUCAAAGUGGGGGAUAGCCUUCCGAAAGGAAGAUUAAUACCGCAUAAUAUAAGAGAAUCGCAUGAUUUUCUUAUCAAAGAUUUAUUGCUUUGAGAUGGACCCGCGGCGCAUUAGCUAGUUGGUAAGGUAACGGCUUACCAAGGCAACGAUGCGUAGCCGACCUGAGAGGGUGAUCGGCCACAUUGGAACUGAGACACGGUCCAGACUCCUACGGGAGGCAGCAGUGGGGAAUAUUGCGCAAUGGGGGAAACCCUGACGCAGCAACGCCGCGUGGGUGAUGAAGGUCUUCGGAUUGUAAAGCCCUGUUUUCURGGACGAUAAUGACGGUACYAGAGGAGGAAGCCACGGCUAACUACGUGCCAGCAGCCGCGGUAAUACGUAGGUGGCGAGCGUUGUCCGGAUUUACUGGGCGUAAAGGGUGCGUAGGCGGAUGUUUAAGUGGGAUGUGAAAUCCCCGGGCUUAACCUGGGGGCUGCAUUCCAAACUGGAUAUCUAGAGUGCAGGAGAGGAAAGCGGAAUUCCUAGUGUAGCGGUGAAAUGCGUAGAGAUUAGGAAGAACACCAGUGGCGAAGGCGGCUUUCUGGACUGUAACUGACGCUGAGGCACGAAAGCGUGGGUAGCAAACAGGAUUAGAUACCCUGGUAGUCC